AUAAUGCUCUGUGUACCAUAACAUUCAGCAGAAGCUCUUUAGUUUAAUUACAUCCCAUUUGUCAAUUUUGGCUUUUGUUGCAAUUGCUCAAUCUCACCACACAUGACCAUCACCUGGAGAGCUUCACAAUACGGGUGCCUAGUCUCAUAUCUUGAGGUUCUGAUUUAAAUGUUCCAGGGUGUAGCCUAGGAACUGGGAUUGUUAAAAGCUGCUGCAAAGAAGAAUAAACUUUUUUUUCCUUUUUAGCCUUUAUUCUUAUGUAAUAUAAACAUUUGUAUUAUUCUUGAACAGAAACAUUUAAUUAAAUGCUAUAAAUUUUCCUUUAUAUCACUUUAGCUGCACCCCACAGUUAUAUGUGAUAUGUUCAUUUAAUUUUUUCUUUUCUUUAACAAAGCAAUAUUUAUUAAUAACAAAAGUAUUUUCUUACUUUUUAUUUGAUUUAUAACUGUCAUAAAUAUAGGUCUGGACAAAGCAAAAUUGCCUUUGAAUUUCCAAUGUCUCUUUUUGCUAAAUAGUACAUAUUAAACAAAACAUAAUAUGUAUACAAUAUAAAAAAUAGAAAUGUCACUUAUAAAGUUUAUAUAAAAUAAUAUUUACAAAGCACUAUUCUGAGAACUAAGUUUCAUCAAGCUUUUAUUUUGAAAUUGGAUUCUCAAGUGUCUUCAGUUCUUAAGAUGAUAAUGAAUGAGAUUAAAAUUUCUUUUGAAGACAGACCAUUUUUUUUAAGUCCAAAAUUUCUGGAAGUCCAACAGUUGGUUCAUUUGAAAUUUGAAUUAGCCUUGAAGAAACUCAGAUUUGUUUUUGAAAGGUGACGUUGAACAAAAAUACUCCAGCCUAUGGAGGAGGGUUCUUAAGUGCUUUUUAGAAGCACGGACAAGAAUGAACCUCAUAUUGGAGUGGGAGGUAGAGAACAGACACAGUCUGAAUAGAAGAAAAGGGUUCUAUUUUCAGACCCCUGGAGAAUGACAGAAGGGAGCCCCAGCCAUGGCAGUGCUUGGAAAAUCUUGCAAUGUGAUGGUUCCUACAUCAUCUUCUGGUAAAUGAAUCAUUCUUACUAUUUCAGUCAUCAUCCCCUCUAGUCUUAAGGGUUUAGAUCUCUCCUUAUUUACUUCUUUUACAGAAGAAAUUACUUCCUCCUUCAGGACUGAGUUGGUCUCUUCAACUUUAUGUAUGCGUCCACAAGACUUUGUAUCUUUUACGAUUCCUUUUCUAGGCUGGUAUCUUCUAAAAAUUACUCAAUAUCUAAAUAUUCCUUUUGAUCAGAACUAAGUAUGCCAAGAAAUGGAUGCUUCAUCAGAACUGGUGCAGCCAGUAUUUGCAGAACCUGCAUUUUCUUUCCCAAAAGUCAGCUUCUAGCCUAAUGCAUAAAUCUGAACAAAUAUGAGAGACCCACCAAAAAGCCAAUAACAGAUAUACACACCACUGACUUCCACUGGAGACUACUGUAGUCAAUGCCUAGCCUCAUGUCAUCUGGAAGCAGCUCUGCUACCACUUUUUGUGACUUCCCCAGGAUCAGCUGAAAGCCAGGCUCCAUAGUGGUUCACAAUGCCUGCAUGGCACUGAAGCCCCCAACAGAAUUCCAGUGGGUAACCAUAGCUCCCAUAGCCUACAACAAACUGCUCAGAAUCCCACCGUGUUCUGCCUGGAACCCACCCACCCAUGUCUGGCAAACUAAAUCAAUAACAAACGAGCCAGUCCAAGUGGAGGAUAGACGAAGUCUCACUCGGUCACCUAGGCUGGAGUACAGUGGUGUGAUCUCAGCUUACUGCAACCUCCACCUCCCAGACUCAAGCAGUCCUCCAACUUCAGCCUCCCGAGUAACUGGGACUACAGGCAUGCACCACCAUGCUAGGCUAACUUUUUUGUAUUUUUUAGUAAAGACAGAGUUUCACCAUGUUGGCCAGGCUGGUCUCAAAUUCCAGACCUCAAGUGAUUCACCAGCCUAAGCCUCCCAAAGUGCUAAAAUUACAGGUCAUGUUGCAAUGUGGAACUGUGGACCAGAGAGAGAUUAAGUGAGCUCAUCAAGA
Molecule: long non-coding RNA, 2027 nt
Filed under: Homo sapiens (human)
Lineage: Eukaryota; Metazoa; Chordata; Mammalia; Primates; Hominidae
Description: HSALNT0368732
Source: RNAcentral